AUWCGUAGGGUGCAAGCGUUAUCCGGAAUUAUUGGGCGUAAAGGGCUCGUAGGCGGUUCGUCGCGUCCGGUGUGAAAGUCCAUCGCUUAACGGUGGAUCUGCGCCGGGUACGGGCGGGCUGGAGUGCGGUAGGGGAGACUGGAAUUCCCGGUGUAACGGUGGAAUGUGUAGAUAUCGGGAAGAACACCAAUGGCGAAGGCAGGUCUCUGGGCCGUUACUGACGCUGAGGAGCGAAAGCGUGRGGAGCGAACAGGAUUAGAUACCCUGGUAGUCCACGCCGUAAACGGUGGACGCUGGAUGUGGGGCCCGUUCCACGGGUUCCGUGUCGGAGCUAACGCGUUAAGCAUCCCGCCUGGGGAGUACGGCCGCAAGGCUAAAACUCAAAGAAAUUGACGGGGGCCCGCACAAGCGGCGGAGCAUGCGGAUUAAUUCGAUGCAACGCGAAGAACCUUACCUGGGCUUGACAUGUUCCCGACCGCGGCAGAGAUGUCGUUUCCCUUCGGGGCGGGUUCACAGGUGGUGCAUGGUCGUCGUCAGCUCGUGUCGUGAGAUGUUGGGUUAAGUCCCGCAACGAGCGCAACCCUCGCCCUGUGUUGCCAGCACGUCAUGGUGGGAACUCACGGGGGACCGCCGGGGUCAACUCGGAGGAAGGUGGGGAUGACGUCAGAUCAUCAUGCCCCUUACGUCCAGGGCUUCACGCAUGCUACAAUGGCCGGUACAACGGGAUGCGACACGGCGACGUGGAGCGGAUCCCUGAAAACCGGUCUCAGUUCGGAUUGGAGUCUGCAACCCGACUCCAUGAAGGCGGAGUCGCUAGUAAUCGCGGAUCAGCAACGCCGCGGUGAAUGCGUUCCCGGGCCUUGUACACACCGCCCGUCAAGUCAUGAAAGUGGGUAGCACCCGAAGCCGGUGGCCUAACCCUUUGUGGAUGGAGCCGUCUAAGGUGAGACUCGUGAUUGGGACU
This 964-nucleotide ribosomal RNA is filed under the name uncultured bacterium. RNAcentral describes it as "bacterial SSU rRNA". It matches the Rfam family "Bacterial small subunit ribosomal RNA", at positions 523 to 1482 of the family's 1533-position model. The record is from RNAcentral.